GCCAGACUCCUACGGGAGGCAGCAGUGGGGAAUAUUGCACAAUGGGGGAAACCCUGAUGCAGCGACGCCGCGUGAGUGAGGAAGUAUUUCGGUAUGUAAAGCUCUCUCAGCAGGGAAGAAAAUGACGGUACCUGACUAAGAAGCCCCGGCUAACUACGUGCCAGCAGCCGCGGUAAUACGUAGGGGGCAAGCGUUAUCCGGAUUUACUGGGUGUAAAGGGAGCGUAGACGGAUAAGCAAGUCUGAUGUGAAAAUCCGGGGCCCAACCCCGGAAUUGCAUUGGAAACUGCAUAUCUAGAGUGUCGGAGAGGCAAGUGGAAUUCCUGGUGUAGCGGUGAAAUGCGUAGAUAUCAGGAGGAACAUCGGUGGCGUAAGCGCUUUACUGGGCCGUAAUUGACGCUGAGGAACGAAAGCCAGGGUAGCAAAUGGGAUUAGAUACCCCAGUACA
RNAcentral lists this ribosomal RNA (447 nucleotides) under uncultured bacterium. RNAcentral's name for it is "bacterial SSU rRNA". It matches the Rfam family "Bacterial small subunit ribosomal RNA", at positions 330 to 794 of the family's 1533-position model. The record is from RNAcentral.